UUAGAACAGGUGUUUCCUAUCAGUAGAGCGAGAGUUGGUUUCUUCUGUUUCUUUUGAUUGCUCUCAUGGAAAUUAUGGGUGCGUCAGAAGCAAGGAGAAGCCUUAUAUGGAAGCAAAGGCAGCUGCCUCUGGCUACUGAAUAUAACCAAACCUGUCAGUAAUCUUAGGCCUUCCAGGGACAAGAAAAGAAACGCAAGAGGGAGAUUUCAUGGCAAUAAGAAACCCUGAAAAUAACCAACAGGGCAGGCGGAGAGACAGUGGAGUUCAUCGUCCCAGAUGCUCUUCAGUGUCCUUUCUAGCGCCAAAAUGUUAGAAUCACAAGGAGAGAAAUGGGCCGGGGUGGGGAGCAGUGCAGGCACCAAGGCGGAGGAAGAAGUCGCGCGGGCAGAGCAUGAGGUCGCGGGGGAGCGGCCAAAGCUCCAGGUCCCAGACGCAGCCGCAGAGGCGGCAGGGACGGGUGGCUGGGAGGGAACGGAGAGGCUUCCCAAGCCUCGGCAAGAAGAGAGGACUUCGACAGACGCCACUACUUAUCUGCACACGCCGCUCACUUUCCACCUUCUGGUCCUUGUUAGCGCUUGUCCUACGGAGCACACACGCCAUCUCAUAAUGCUCCAGGUUGAAAUUCUACCUGCCUUUAAGGAUCUCCUCAAAUACAAUCUUUUUCGUCUGAAGCCUUUCUUCUCUCUAACCGGAUACGAUUUCCUUUGGCGCCUUAUUAUAUUUUAAUUUCCCUUUUAUUAUAAGUGUCUAUCUACCGCUUUCUUCUAGCCUAGAGGCCGUGUGUGUGUUUGUGUGUGUAUUCCCUUCGUGAAAAGAGCUAUAAUUUUUGAAUCGUAAAGAGGCCACCCUGUCUCUGACCGUCCCUAAGCAGACACUUUGCCAUGACACCUGAUGACGGAGGCGUGUAGCUGGGGUGGUGUUGGUUUCCCGGAAGCCCUAUAUCACCUGCCAGGGCAACCAGCCUGUGUGGCCCAGCGUACCCUAAACAUCCUGUCUUUCCUUUCCCUGCAGAUACUCAGGCAUUGUAAACCCAUAACGUAUUUUCCAUUGCUGUUGCCAAAGAUAGCUGUGCACUGUUGACAGAUUCAAAACCCGUGUUCGUUGCUUAUGACAGAGUUGGGCUGAUCAGUUGAAAAUUCUUGCCAGUUCCUUACAGGAGGAAGGGUCUCCCUAGUGGGAGCAGCGGAUAGAGGGGUCGAUGGCAGAGGAAGAGAGUGAAGUGAACCAGCCCCUCCUUAUCAGCAUGUGUCCUGGCCCAGGGAGGUGAAACAAACAUACUCUGUGCUUAUUUUCACGGCCUCAUUAACCGUGCAGAUCAUCGGAAAAGCAGGAACGAGGCAAACAGUCCACUGCAGCACAUUUGCCUGGGACGUCAUUUGACAGGCAUUCCUGAGCAUCUCAGAAAAAAUGGCAUUCCCAAACUUCUUAAAACAAAGUGUUUUCCAGACACACCCUUAUGCAGACAGAAAUUUAAAGUGAAAAGGAGUGAAGCCCAUGGGUUUGGAGGCUGGAAGAUGAGGCCUGGCCCUUCUCGGCUACCAAUGCAUGGGAUCUGGGGCGGUAUUACACCACUCAUCUUGAUCUGAAAAAGGAGGGAGCUGGACCAGAUGAUCCUGCAAUGUCCCCUCCCCUUCGAGGAAUCUGUACAGUAUGGCGCUGUGUUCAUGGAGACAGCUGUGACUCGCAACUGCAUUUUCUAAUAGUGUGAUAACACACACAAGCAGCUGCACGAUUACU
Long non-coding RNA from Capra hircus (goat), 1737 nucleotides. RefSeq lists it as uncharacterized. The transcript is spliced from 3 exons. The record is from RefSeq and is a predicted model, not a curated record. NCBI's taxonomy places the organism in Eukaryota, Metazoa, Chordata, Mammalia, Artiodactyla, Bovidae.